UACGAAGGGGGCUAGCGUUGUUCGGAAUUACUGGGCGUAAAGGGCGCGUAGGCGGCCUGUUAAGUCGAACGUGAAAUCCCCGGGCUCAACCCGGGAACUGCGUCCGAUACUGGCAGGCUUGAAUCCGGGAGAGGGAUGCGGAAUUCCAGGUGUAGCGGUGAAAUGCGUAGAUAUCUGGAGGAACACCGGUGGCGAAGGCGGGGUCUCUGGGCCGAUACUGACACUGAGGAGCGAAAGCGUGGGGAGCGAACAG
Molecule: ribosomal RNA, 253 nt
Filed under: uncultured bacterium
Lineage: Bacteria
Description: partial 16S ribosomal RNA
Rfam family: Bacterial small subunit ribosomal RNA
Source: RNAcentral